UCCCUGUUUCCCAGACCAUAUAGCACCAGAAUAACCUGUGAAGCUAUUAAAAAAAAACAACAACAGAUUUCUGGAGUCUACCUCCAAGAAAUUCUGAAUGAACAGGUUAGAGAAGAGCUGAGGGAUCUACAUUUUAACCAACACAGAUUGUUUGAGGCUCACCAGUCUAAAAAAAAAUCUUUAAGGUUGUUUCUAAUUCUGAAAUUCAUUAUUCAGAGUAUCCAGUUUCUGCUUCCAUGGUCUCAAACUCCCUGCUUACUGCCUCUACUGAUUCUCACCAUUGGUAGUCCGAAGCUUGGGUCUUCUGAUGCUCUACCUAUGGGAAAGAGAUUACUUCUAGAUUGCCAAGAGCUCACAGUGUUAACACCUCACAUGGAUGCAUGGACACUGGUGUCCAGGGGGCUGCUGAUGUCACCGGCUCUACCCUGCCCCUCCAGGAGGACUCAUGUCCUUGCUACAGCACUGCCUCCAGUGCACAAAGCAAUAGCUCUGAGUAUUUUAUCUGGGUUUUUUUUCUUCUCUUUUUCUGUAAGAUAUGGGCAUUGAUCUAUGGGCUGGCCUGACAUACAGUGUACAUUAUUCAAUCACCUUGCUCUUUGACCUUGCCUCAUGAUCUAAGAACAAAAGUGCAUCCUUGCUUGUCAUCCUGAGGCACACCAGCCCUUCUUACAGAUGUGUUUCCUAUGGGUCCUCCUGUCAUUAUGUAUCUGAAUCAUAGUCCUGGUUCCCACCAUUUCCAAAAGAACUGGCUGUUCCUAAUUCAGAAGAAGGUAAAUUCUGAAAGUAAGUUGGUACGCCAGUCAUCUAGAAUUUGAGCCUCUCAGCCCAUAGCUACAAAAUUACACAUAAUGGCAAAGUUCCCAGGCCCAUCCACAAAAAACCUAUUUAUCCAGAAUGUAGCUGAACAGAGGUAAUAAAGCUAUAUGCAACCCAGCCA
RNAcentral lists this long non-coding RNA (937 nucleotides) under Vulpes vulpes (red fox). RNAcentral's name for it is "lncRNA (ENSVVUG00000019728.1)". The record is from RNAcentral. Lineage: Eukaryota; Metazoa; Chordata; Mammalia; Carnivora; Canidae.